UACAGAGGCCCCGAGCGUUAUCCGGAAUCAUUGGGCGUAAAGCGUCCGCAGGUGGGAUAGCACGUCUGCUGUGAAAUCUUUAAGGCUCAACCUUAAAGCUCGCGGUGGAUACGGCUAUUCUUGAGGUAUGGAGAGGUAAGUGGAACUCCUGGUGGAGCGGUGAAAUGCGUUGAUAUCAGGGGGAACACCAAUUGCGAAGGCAGCUUACUGGCCAUGUCCUGACACUCAUGGACGACAGCGUGGGGAGCGAAGCGG
RNAcentral lists this unclassified non-coding RNA (255 nucleotides) under uncultured Parcubacteria group bacterium. RNAcentral describes it as "contains 16S-23S intergenic spacer region". It matches the Rfam family "Bacterial small subunit ribosomal RNA", at positions 524 to 776 of the family's 1533-position model. The record is from RNAcentral.